RNAcentral lists this ribosomal RNA (497 nucleotides) under uncultured bacterium. RNAcentral describes it as "partial 16S ribosomal RNA". It matches the Rfam family "Bacterial small subunit ribosomal RNA", at positions 28 to 507 of the family's 1533-position model. The record is from RNAcentral.
GAUGAACGCUGGCGGCGUGCCUAAUACAUGCAAGUAGAACGCUGAAGGAAGGAGCUUGCUCUUUCCGGAGGAGUUGCGAACGGGUGAGUAACGCGUAGGUAACCUGCCUGGUAGCGGGGGAUAACUAUUGGAAACGAUAGCUAAUACCUCCUAACAGUAGAUGUUGCAUGACAACUAUUUGAAAGGGGCAAUUGCUCCACUACCAUAUGGACCUGCGUUGUAUUAGCUAGUUGGUGAGGUAACGGCUCACCAAGGCGACGAUACAUAGCCGACCUGAGAGGGUGAUCGGCCACACUGGGACUGAGACACGGCCCAGACUCCUACGGGAGGCAGCAGUAGGGAAUCUUCGGCAAUGGACGGAAGUCUGACCGAGCAACGCCGCGUGAGUGAUGAAGGUUUUCGGAUCGUAAAGCUCUGUUGUAAGAGAAGAACGAGUGUGAGAGUGGAAAGUACACACUGUGACGGUAUCUUACCAGAAAGGGACGGCUAACUACGUG